AUGGCAAUUCCAGCAGCAGCAAAGGGCGUUGCCACUCCAGAGGCAGCAACGGGCAUUGCAACGCCUGCUGCAGCGCUGGGCAUGGCAAUGCCGGCAGCAGCGACGGGAAGAGCGAAUCCAGCAGAAGCAAAAGGCAUGGGAAGCCCUGCAGAAGGAGCUGGCCUGGAUAAUCGAGCGGCGAAAACAGGAAUUUCAAGAAGAGUGGAAGCGACGGGCACGGGCCAUGGAGAAGCAGCGGGAGAUAUGGGAAGUCGCAAAGCAGAUGCGGUUGCAGGAAAUCCAGCAGCGGUGGGCGCAGCCAGUCCAGCAGCAGCAGCAGCAGCAGCAGUGGGCGCAGCCAGUCCAGCAGCAGCGGUGGGCGCAGGAAAUGCAGCAGCAGCAGUAGUGGUGGGCGCAGCCAAUCCAGCAGCAGCAGCAGCAGUGGGCGCAGCCAGGCCAGCAGCAGCAGCAGCAGUGGGCGCAGGAAAUGCAGCAGCAGCAGCAGUGGGCGCAGCCAAUCCAGCAGCAGCAGCAGCAGUGGGCGCAGGAAAUGCAGCAGCAGGCGAGGGAAACCUGGCAGUAGCGCCGGGGGUGGGAAAUCCAGCUGCAGCGCCGGGGGCGGGCAAUCCAUCAGCAGCGGAGGCGAACAUGACAUAUCUAGAGGAGGAAGAGGAGGCGGAGGAAGAGGAGGUAGAACAAAUGACAUACUCAGUGGCAGGGGGGAGCGUGACAUAUCCAGCGGUGUCGGUGGGCGUGACAUACCCAGCAGUGGCCACGGGCAUACCUUAUCUAACACUGGCAAAGAGCAAGACAAAUUCAGUGGCGACGACUACGACGAGCAUGACAAAUUCAAUGGCGGCGGGAGACAUGGCAAUCACGGCGGCGGGCCAGAUACAGCCAACAAGUAAUGCUAGCAGUCCUGCGUUUGCAUUUUCAUCUCCAAUUGUGAAGUCUACGGAGGCAGAAGUGCUAUCUACAUUUCCUGUAAGUAAACUAAUAAAGAAGCUAGACUUGUUUUCUUAG
Molecule: long non-coding RNA, 1002 nt
Filed under: Anas platyrhynchos (mallard)
Lineage: Eukaryota; Metazoa; Chordata; Aves; Anseriformes; Anatidae
Description: lncRNA (ENSAPLG00020002903.1)
Source: RNAcentral